Molecule: transfer RNA, 67 nt
Filed under: Kinyongia tavetana
Lineage: Eukaryota; Metazoa; Chordata; Lepidosauria; Squamata; Chamaeleonidae
Description: transfer RNA-Gln
Source: RNAcentral
AGAGGAGAAGGACUCGAACCAACAUCAAGAAACUCUAAUUUCACGCAUUCCNNUAUACUACCCCCUA